CCUACGGGAGGCUGCAGUGGGGAAUAUUGCACAAUGGGGGAAACCCUGAUGCAGCGACGCCGCGUGAGUGAAGAAGUAAUUCGUUAUGUAAAGCUCUAUCAGCAGGGAAGAAAAUGACGGUACCUGUGUAAGAAUCCCCGGCUAACUACGUUCCAGCUGCCGCGGCAAUACGUAGGGGUCAAGCGUUAUCCGGAUUUACUGGGUGUAAGGGGCGUGUAGUCGGGUUGACAAGUCAGAUGUGAAAUCCUGCGGCUUAACCGCAGAACUGCAGUUGAAACUGUUGAUCUUGAGUACUGGAGAGGCAGGCGGAAUGCGUAGUGUAGCGGUGAAAUGCGUAGAUAUUAGGAGGAACACCAGUGGCGAAGGCGGUCUGCUGGACAGCAACUGACGGUGAGGCGCGAAAGCGUGGGGAGCAAACAGGAUUAGAUACCAUGGUAGUC
This 440-nucleotide ribosomal RNA is filed under the name uncultured bacterium. RNAcentral describes it as "partial 16S ribosomal RNA". It matches the Rfam family "Bacterial small subunit ribosomal RNA", at positions 338 to 795 of the family's 1533-position model. The record is from RNAcentral.